Long non-coding RNA from Spinacia oleracea (spinach), 383 nucleotides. RefSeq lists it as uncharacterized. The record is from RefSeq and is a predicted model, not a curated record. The transcript has 3 exons. NCBI's taxonomy places the organism in Eukaryota, Viridiplantae, Streptophyta, Magnoliopsida, Caryophyllales, Amaranthaceae.
UGCUGCACCGACCAUCAGCUCCCUCUCUCCUUUCUCCUUUCGCACGCAACAAGCACAGCCACCACCCACCGGCGCCACAGCUGCGGUGUCUAGCCUUUGUGGCCCUUCCAGAUCCUGUUGCCGCACCUCCCUGCCUGCUGCCGCCGCCCCUUUCCCGUCGGCAAACUCAUUCUCUCUCUCUUGGCGGAGAAUUCUCUUUAGGCGACUUCUGAAAGUGUUAAAGUGGCCUAUUAGUUUGUUUACACAAGUCUCUAAGGAUCAAUAAGCGUUGCCCAUCUACAGGUUUGAAGAUGAUGCAUCAUUGGGAUCGGGAUUAGAGAGCUUAUAGUUCUAUUUGUUUAAUUAAGUGAUUUAAUUUGUUAACUUAUAUUUGAAAGUCGUCG